This 466-nucleotide ribosomal RNA is filed under the name uncultured bacterium. Its description in RNAcentral is "partial 16S ribosomal RNA". It matches the Rfam family "Bacterial small subunit ribosomal RNA", at positions 28 to 507 of the family's 1533-position model. The record is from RNAcentral.
GAUGAACGCUGGCGGCGUGCUUAACACAUGCAAGUCGAACGAUGAAGCCCAGCUUGCUGGGUGGAUUAGUGGCGAACGGGUGAGUAACACGUGAGUAACCUGCCCUUAACUCUGGGAUAAGCCUGGGAAACUGGGUCUAAUACCGGAUAGGAGCGUCCACCGCAUGGUGGGUGUUGGAAAGAUUUAUCGGUUUUGGAUGGACUCGCGGCCUAUCAGCUUGUUGGUGAGGUAAUGGCUCACCAAGGCGACGACGGGUAGCCGGCCUGAGAGGGUAACCGGCCACACUGGGACUGAGACACGGCCCGGACUCCUACGGGAGGCAGCAGUGGGGAAUAUUGCACAAUGGGCGCAAGCCUGAUGCAGCGACGCCGCGUGAGGGAUGACGGCCUUCGGGUUGUAAACCUCUUUCAGUAGGGAAGAAGCGAAAGUGACGGUACCUGCAGAAGAAGCACCGGCUAACUACGUG